Molecule: long non-coding RNA, 1701 nt
Organism: Podarcis raffonei (Aeolian wall lizard)
Lineage: Eukaryota; Metazoa; Chordata; Lepidosauria; Squamata; Lacertidae
Exons: 4
Source: RefSeq, a predicted model, not a curated record
CCCCUUGUGUUUUCCCCACUUAAAGGUUUUUGUACAUCUGCAAACCUUGAAGCUCCUCUGAGCCUGCCGGUUUUGGAAUCAUAAGGAUUGGCAAUUGGAGAAUGAUUUUGUUGUUAGUGUAUAUGGUCGUUUAUUCUGUUUGCAAUCUGGAUGGUGUUCACUUCAUAUAAAUUCUGAGUGUGUUACUUAUACUUUGGAAUUUGUUCUGCUUUUAAUAUGCUAUUUUGCAGAGUGCUCACUUUGUGUUAGAUGUUUAUGUUCAGUUCAUUUUCCCUUCCUCUGGUUUGUUUUGCAAUCUGAUGAUCAGUGUGCAUGAGUUUCAUUUGCAAUGUGCACAAGUUUGAUGAGGUGCACAUCAAUCUGUUUUAUUUGGGUUCUCAAAUGUGCUUGAAAGGAGACAGUUUUGUUGGUGGCGGUGUCAUAGUCGGAAUUACUUAUUUGCAGGAGUCUCUUAACAAUGUACAGCAGAACAUCCACUUAAUUAAAAACAAAAGCAAAAGAAACACCUUCCAUGAUUGCGAAUGGACUUUAUAAUCUUCAAUAGAUCUGGGAGAAAUGAAGAACUAAUAAUUUACUGGACUAGCAACAUACAAGGACUAGAUCAUACUGUAGCUGACCAGCUAAAUUUUAGGAUUGCCUUGUAAAUUCAACUGGUAGAGUCUUACCAGAACAUAGCAAGCAAGAACUGUGGGGGUGUUUUUGAGGCACCAACUGCUACUACCAUGUCUGGUUCCAUAUUUAAUUUCAGGGCUGCCCUUUUUCCAGACAUCAAUUAGACAAUCUCUCCUGUAUACCCAAUAAGGAUAUUGAAUGGGAGGGGAGCACACAAUAAGCACCACCACAUUAAGCAGUCACAGGUGUUAAUUACAAGUCCAGGGCACAGGAGCCUGACCAAGGAGGCUAUUUCAAUUUAUGCACGGAGGCCUCAGCCUGUAGCAUUGUUGGCCAGCUGAUCAAACCAGAAGAUCCUUGAUAUGUCUCCCAGUGAAAAAGAAAAGUAGAGGUUGGCAUCUCUUACGCAACACAGAAGCAGAAGGCAAGACUAUCCAAGAAACCCAAGGAAAGCUACAAUGAUCAGGAACAGAUUACACACUGCAGUUUGCCAGCAUAGAGAGGACCUGACAUGCCACACUAGCACCUAGGUCCGCAUGUUUGCUGGUAAGAAGGUAAGAGAAUAUUGUUAUGAGUUUGGGAGGGUGGGGGAAGUAGGCUCUAUGCGAGAUCCUUCAACCCCCUGGAUCUAGGCUAGCUUUCUGUGUUGAGGUGCUCGCCUAGGUGGUGGACCGUUAAGAGGUGUGCAAGAUGACAAAUAGAUGGAGCCCCUCUCUCAGCUUGCUGUUAGUUAGAAGGACAAAGCCAGAGUUUAGAGUUAAAAGUGGGAGUGAUAUGACCUAGAAGUGAAGCAGCAAGCUGCAGAGAGAGGGAGAGCAAUGUUUCAAUCCAAAGCUGUGGCUAUGGGAGAAACAUAGACCCUGUUUGGCUGUUAAUGCUGUGAGCCCCUCCAUCAUAGGCUCAGGCUACAUGUAUGUGUUAAUAAACCAUAUAUCAUAAAGACACCACAGUCUCUGUUGUGCCAGUGCCUGGAAUCUUGCAAUGCUCAGAGAUUGGGGGUGGCGUGCAGCAAAAUUCUGGCUCUAUAGCCUAUACUAUAGCAGACAAAAGGUUAUAGGGAUGUACAAGAAGCUUGCAAAAGAAACAGGG